This 882-nucleotide long non-coding RNA is filed under the name Monodelphis domestica (gray short-tailed opossum). RNAcentral's name for it is "lncRNA (ENSMODG00000035859.2)". The record is from RNAcentral. Lineage: Eukaryota; Metazoa; Chordata; Mammalia; Didelphimorphia; Didelphidae.
CUGAGUCACUCUCAUUGGCUGAAUGUGAAGGACUUGUGCAUAGACUCAUAGAUAGAACUAGAAGAAAGCUUAGAGGUCAUCUGGUCAAAACAACUCACUUACAGGUGGCAGACCCAUUCUGCCUGAUGAUGCCAAUUGUGGAAUGGCAGAGGCUCUGAGAGAAUCCUGGGAUAAUGAAGAAAGAAGAGCAGCACACUCCGGCAUGGAAAUGAGGAGACUGACACCCAGUGAGAAUAAAAGACCUACCCAAUGCUACCCAGGCACCUUUCUGGCGGCGGCAAGCUGGUGGCAGCAUGCGGGGCCUUUCAGCAUCUUAGCAUGGCUACAAGUUUUGUCCGGUUCAGUGGCAGGAGAGGAAGGAAGCGCUUCCAUUGGGCUGCUGGACAGAGGAGCAGGUGAAGUGAAAAAUGUCCUCAGGCACAUGGAAAGAGGGAAGAGAGUAGCCCCUUCUGGCACACAUGCCAUAGGUUCGCCAACAUAGACCCAGCCUUCACCACUCUUCUGUGUUGGAAGCUAAUAUACAGUAUUGAUUCUAAGACAGAAGGUAAGAGUUCAAAGAAGAAAAAAGAAAACAAAAGAAAGAAACAAUGGGCAGGUUAAUUUUUUUAAAACUUGGAAGGAACUAAAUGGGACAAUGAACAGUGAAAUGAGUAGAACCAAGAGAAUGUCAUACAUAGCUAAUGAAUUAAUACUGGAAGAGUAAAUUGUGAAUGUUACCUACAGACAGUGAACCAAAAGGUGGAAACAUGAAAGACUUAAAUUGUAUGAAAAUGUCUGUUUUCCAGACAAUGCCUUCUGUGAUAUGGGAGAAUGGGAAGAGGCUGAAACAAUUGUGGAUAAAUUAAGAAUAAAGAAAAAAAUGGCAUUAUGGGGUAAUGGGAA